AGUAAUAAGAACUAAACUAUUGGAUUUUGUAUCCUCAGAAAAGGGCUAAACCCCUUUCUUCCUGUA
RNAcentral lists this transfer RNA (66 nucleotides) under Pristella maxillaris. Its description in RNAcentral is "tRNA-Met". The record is from RNAcentral. Lineage: Eukaryota; Metazoa; Chordata; Actinopteri; Characiformes; Acestrorhamphidae.